Molecule: ribosomal RNA, 1276 nt
Filed under: metagenome
Description: bacterial LSU rRNA
Rfam family: Bacterial large subunit ribosomal RNA
Source: RNAcentral
GGUGGGCGGGGUGAGUAUCCCGAGGCGCGUGAGAGAACCCUGGUUAAGGAACUAGGCAAAAUAACACCGUAACUUCGGGAGAAGGUGUGCCGUUGAUGGUGAAGCCCUCCUCGGGCCGAGCUGUUGGCGGUUGCAGCGAAAUGGGGAUUGUGACUGUUUACUAAAAACAUAGGACUCUGCAAAGUCGAAAGACGACGUAUAGGGUCUGAUGCCUGCCCGGUGCUGGAAGGUUAAGGGGAAGUGUCAGCGCAAGCGAAGCACCCAACCGAAGCCCCAGUAAACGGCGGCCGUAACAAUAACGGUCCUAAGGUAGCGAAAUUCCUUGUCGGGUAAGUUCCGACCUGCACGAAUGGCAUAACAACAUUCCCGCUGUCUCAACCAGGGACUCAGCGAAAUUGCAUAGGGGGUGAAGAUGCCCUCUACCCGCGGCAAGACGGGAAGACCCCAUGAACCUUUACUGCAACUUGGCAGUGAACUUCGGGAUGUUCUGCGUAGGAUAGGUGGGAGGCGUUGAAGCCGGGCUUCCGGGUUCGGCAGAGCCACCGUUGAAAUACCACCCUGAACAUUCUGGGGUUCUAACCUAGGCCCGUGAUCCGGGUCGGGGACACUGCCUGGUAGGCAGUUUGACUGGGGCGGUCGCCUCCAAAAUCGUAACGGAGGCGUGCGAAGGUUCCCUCAGCCUGAUUGGAAACCAGGCGUAGAGUGCAAACGCAUAAGGGAGCUUGACUGUGAGACCGACAGGUCGAGCAGGUGCGAAAGCAGGUGUUAGUGAUCCGGUGGUUCCUGAUGGAAGGGCCAUCGCUCAACGGAUAAAAGGUACUCUGGGGAUAACAGGCUGAUCGCGCCUGAGAGUUCACAUCGGCGGCGCGGUUUGGCACCUCGAUGUCGGCUCAUCGCAUCCUGGGGCUGGAGCAGGUCCCAAGGGUUUGGCUGUUCGCCAAUUAAAGCGGUACGCGAGCUGGGUUUAGAACGUCGUGAGACAGUUCGGUCCCUAUCUGCCGUGGGCGUAGGACACUUGAGAGGAGUUGCCCAUAGUACGAGAGGACCUGGGUGAACGUACCCCUGGUGAUCCGGUUGUUCUGCCAAGAGCAUUGCCGGGUAGCUACGUACGGAACGGAUAACCGCUGAAAGCAUCUAAGCGGGAAGCCGGCCUCAAGACUAGGUGUCCCGUCGAAAGACCUAAAGGCUCCAUGUAGACCACGUGGUAAUAGGCUGGGUGUGAAAGCGUAGCAAUGCGCGGAGCUAACCAGUACUAAUAAGCCGUGAGGCUUGACCA